RNAcentral lists this long non-coding RNA (788 nucleotides) under Chloebia gouldiae (Gouldian finch). Its description in RNAcentral is "Erythrura gouldiae (Gouldian finch) lncRNA (ENSEGOG00005000275.1)". Lineage: Eukaryota; Metazoa; Chordata; Aves; Passeriformes; Passeridae. The record is from RNAcentral.
CUCGGCGAAGGGCUAUAAUUAGAUUAGCAGCCUGCUCAGCAGCGGUGCCAGCCUGCGAGCCUCAGCGAGCAUGUGCUGGAUUCUGCAUGUGCCUCCCGCUUAUUGGCGGCCGGGGUUGCUGCCUGCCGGUUUGAUAGGUUUCCCCAGUAAUCUUUAUGCUGCAUUACAGACAUAGAUACAGAGGUACUGCGUGCAUACAACGGGAGAGGUGCUCAGCUUGUAGCGUAAAAGAAAGCCCACAGAUGAAAGGCACUGGUCUUUGUUGCAAAGCAUCAAUACUUAAGGACUGCUAGCUGGGAGCAGAGAGGUGAUACCACCACCCACUGGAGCUGAAAUGAUGAACACGCAGCUAUUCAGCUAUUCUGCCUCCAGAAAGAGCUGUGUUGAUCUAUGCAAGCAUCACAAGAAAACGUGACAGUUGUGAAACUAGAACUGAAUCCUCUGGAGCAUUACAUUCCCCUGUUUGGAGUGUGGACAAGAGUUUGGCAUUCUACUUUCACAGAUCGCUGCCGCUCGCUCGUGGAGCGCAGAGGGGACGGCGAGACUCCCACAUCUUUCAGCGAGAAGAAAGGAGCCAGCGGAGCAGACUAAUACGGACUUGUGUCGGGUGCCCUUGCCCUACAAAGGCUGCCUUUAAAAGAGAAACGCAGUGCUAUUUAAUGAGCUGUGAGAUGAGGCACUGCUGCUAACGCUCAGAUCCCAGGAUUCAUCGGCUAUUCAUUGUGCUUAAUGUACAUGUUUCUGCACCGUGCAUUUAGGAGAUCCCAGAGAAGAAUCCAAAACGGCUG